GAGAAACAUCAGGAAUGGCAAUACACAGAAACGUGUUUCAAAUCAUUUUGAUUCACACUCUGUACAUGACCUGAAAGCUGCCAUUUUGGAGAACAAAAAUUACAGGACUAUAAUCUAGAGAGGGGAGAACAAUGCUUCCUGGGAGGAGAACUGAAUGUCAACAAGGAUUUCAGAGGUCAUUGUCAGGCCAACAACUUGUGCCUAAACACAAUCUGUGAUUUGGGACCAUAUAUAAAGAAAACAUCUGGAGAGAAAGCUUUGGAUAAUCUGUCUGACUGAGCUGGAAAAGCAAUUCUGGAACUGUUGGGAGUUAAAGCAUGAGGAACUGACAGAGAUCUGUAUGAGGGAAGAACUGGAACAGAAAGGCAACAUUGAGGCAUCUGAACAACAGCAGCCAGUGAAACAGGAUUGGAAUCGCCAAGUGUAUACAUGCAAAUAUAUUUAUUGGGGAUAUGCCAAUGGCACGUCAAGGCAUUUUGGUGCACCACAUACUGCUUGCUUCUGCACUUCUGGGAAUGGGAGAGGCAAAGCUUUCAGAAUAAGGAUAGAAUAUGUGGAGUGCUUGUUGCAUACUACUUUUUAAAGCAGAAUUCAGAAAGUUACUUUUACUUAGAAAUAAUGGAUAUAAUUAAAUGAUGAAGCCAUCCAUAAUUGAAAGAUGGUAGGAUGACUCUCUGGGCUCCAAAACAUUGUCUUAUCAGUUCUUCAUUUUGAUGACUUCAGUGUCUCAUUAAAUGUAUUCACUUUACAAGUAAUUCUCCAAGCCCUGACCUUCACUACUUGUUUUACUGAUAAAACCAUCAUUCAUGUGAUGCUUACAUUCAUUUGCUUUUCACCCAUU
Molecule: non-coding RNA, 841 nt
Organism: Pogona vitticeps (central bearded dragon)
Lineage: Eukaryota; Metazoa; Chordata; Lepidosauria; Squamata; Agamidae
Source: RefSeq, a predicted model, not a curated record